RNAcentral lists this long non-coding RNA (447 nucleotides) under Setaria viridis. Its description in RNAcentral is "long non-coding RNA (SVIR_LNC008935)". Lineage: Eukaryota; Viridiplantae; Streptophyta; Magnoliopsida; Poales; Poaceae. The record is from RNAcentral.
AGAUCUCACUCAAAUGCAAGGAGAAAGCAACAAUGGCGGUGGCGGCCUUGGAAAUUAUGACGGCUCAAAGAUGAACAGGAACAAAGGGGGAGGGACAAAAUAGAUCUGCUAAAAAGAACGUAACCCUAAUAAUAAGUGGGGCCCCCUGUUAUAUCUCCAUCACCUCCGGAUUCCAAGCAUCAAUUAAGCAAUGGUCAGAUAUAAACCAGAUUUAUCGCCAUAAAUAUCCAACGGCUACUCAAAUCAAGAGGUUUGACCACUUCAUCAACCACGGAAAAUCGCCUAAGUGCUCGGGGGCUGCGGAUACCGUACCUGCUGGACAAAGUUUUCUUUUUUCUGAAGACUAAUAAAGCCAGAACAACCAGAACACGGGAUUGACCCUCAGCCUGAUUCUUCGAUUCAAACUAAGGCUCGGGGGCUACUCCAUAUGGAGUGCGAUUGUCAUCG